UACAGAGGGUGCGAGCGUUGUCCGGAAUCACUGGGCGUAAAGGGCGCGUAGGCGGCGCGGCAAGUCCAUGGUGAAAGCUCAGGGCUCAACUCUGAGUCGGCCACGGAUACUGCUGGGCUAGAGCACGGUAGAGGCAGGUGGAAUUCCUGGUGUAGCGGUGAAAUGCGCAGAUAUCAGGAGGAACACCAAUGGCGAAGGCAGCUCGCUGGAACGGUACUGACGCUGAGGAGCGAAAGCGUGGGGAGCAAACAGG
RNAcentral lists this ribosomal RNA (253 nucleotides) under uncultured bacterium. RNAcentral's name for it is "partial 16S ribosomal RNA". It matches the Rfam family "Bacterial small subunit ribosomal RNA", at positions 524 to 776 of the family's 1533-position model. The record is from RNAcentral.